Molecule: ribosomal RNA, 468 nt
Filed under: uncultured bacterium
Lineage: Bacteria
Description: partial 16S ribosomal RNA
Rfam family: Bacterial small subunit ribosomal RNA
Source: RNAcentral
GACGAACGCUGGCGGCGUGCUUAACACAUGCAAGUCGAACGGAAAGGCCCUGCUUUUGUGGGGUGCUCGAGUGGCGAACGGGUGAGUAACACGUGAGUAACCUGCCCUUGACUUUGGGAUAACUUCAGGAAACUGGGGCUAAUACCGGAUAGGAGCUCCUGCUGCAUGGUGGGGGUUGGAAAGUUUCGGCGGUUGGGGAUGGACUCGCGGGUUAUCAGCUUGUUGGUGGGGUAGUGGCUUACCAAGGCUUUGACGGGUAGCCGGCCUGAGAGGGUGACCGGCCACAUUGGGACUGAGAUACGGCCCAGACUCCUACGGGAGGCAGCAGUGGGGAAUAUUGCACAAUGGGCGGAAGCCUGAGGCAGCAACGCCGCGUGCGGGAUGACGGCCUUCGGGUUGUAAACCGCUUUCGCCUGUGACGAAGCGUGAGUGACGGUAAUGGGUAAAGAAGCACCGGCUAACUACGUG